GUGGGGAAUAUUGGACAAUGGGCGAAAGCCUGAUCCAGCCAUGCCGCGUGUGUGAAGAAGGUCUUCGGAUUGUAAAGCACUUUAAGUUGGGAGGAAGGGCAGUAAGUUAAUACCUUGCUGUUUUGACGUUACCGACAGAAUAAGCACCGGCUAACUUCGUGCCAGCAGCCGCGGUAAUACGAAGGGUGCAAGCGUUAAUCGGAAUUACUGGGCGUAAAGCGCGCGUAGGUGGUUUUGUAAGUUGGAGGUGAAAUCCCCGGUCUCAACCUGGGAACUGCCUCCAAAACUGCAUGACUAGAGUACAGAAGAGGGUAGUGGAAUUUCCUGUGUAGCGGUGAAAUGCGUAGAUAUAGGAAGGAACACCAGUGGCGAAGGCGACUACCUGGACUGAUACUGACACUGAGGUGCGAAAGCGUGGGGAGCAAACAGGAUUAGAAACCCCUGUAGUCC
RNAcentral lists this ribosomal RNA (450 nucleotides) under uncultured bacterium. RNAcentral describes it as "partial 16S ribosomal RNA". It matches the Rfam family "Bacterial small subunit ribosomal RNA", at positions 354 to 796 of the family's 1533-position model. The record is from RNAcentral.